RNAcentral lists this long non-coding RNA (200 nucleotides) under Elaeis guineensis (African oil palm). RNAcentral describes it as "long non-coding RNA (EGUI_LNC037140)". Lineage: Eukaryota; Viridiplantae; Streptophyta; Magnoliopsida; Arecales; Arecaceae. The record is from RNAcentral.
UGGGUAGAUCAUUUGUACUUUGAGGUUGUUCUUGUUGUUCUUCACCUUCUUCAUCCGGUUUGUCUUCAUGUUCUUCAUCAUCUUGAAUUGUUGAAUCUUUUAGAGUGAUUUUCUUCAUUCUUUCUAUAAAAGGAUCUGCAUCAUCAAUACCUUCAUUCUUCCUUGAAGGAAGAUCGUUAGUUUCAUCAAAGAUAACAUGU